GAUAAACGCUGGCGGCGUGCCUAACACAUGCAAGUCGAACGUCCUCUUGUUUUUCGGAACGAGAGGGAGUGGCGGACGGGUGAGUAACACAUGGGUGACCUGGCCUGAAGUGAGGGAUACCGGCGAGAAAUCGCCGACAAGCCCGCAUGGGUUCUCUGCGGUGGAGCGCAGGGAGCAAAGUUUUUCUUUCUUGUGAGAGAGAGACGCUUUGGGAUGGGCCUGUGGCCGAUUAGCUAGUUGGUGGGGUAAGAGCCUCCCAAGGCGACGAUC
This 270-nucleotide ribosomal RNA is filed under the name uncultured bacterium. RNAcentral's name for it is "partial 16S ribosomal RNA". It matches the Rfam family "Bacterial small subunit ribosomal RNA", at positions 28 to 281 of the family's 1533-position model. The record is from RNAcentral.